Molecule: ribosomal RNA, 497 nt
Filed under: uncultured bacterium
Lineage: Bacteria
Description: partial 16S ribosomal RNA
Rfam family: Bacterial small subunit ribosomal RNA
Source: RNAcentral
GAUGAACGCUGGCGGCGUGCCUAAUACAUGCAAGUCGAGCGAACAGAUAAGGAGCUUGCUCCUUUGACGUUAGCGGCGGACGGGUGAGUAACACGUGUGUAACCUACCUAUAAGACUGGAAUAACUCCGGGAAACCGGGUCUAAUGCCGGAUAACAUUUAGAACCGCAUGGUUCUAAAGUGAAAUAUGGUUUUGCUGUCACUUAUAGAUGGACCCGCGCCGUAUUAGCUAGUUGGUAAGGUAACGGCUUACCAAGGCAACCAUACGUAGCCGACCUGAGAGGGUGAUCGGCCACACGGGAACUGAGACACGGACCAGACUCCUACGGGAGGCAGCAGUAGGGAAUCUUCCGCAAUGGGCGAAAGUCUGACGGAGCAACGCCGCGUGAGUGAUGAAGGUCUUCGGAUCGUAAAACUCUGUUAUGAGGGAAGAACAAAUGUGUAAGUAACUGUGCACGUCUUGACGGUACCUAAUCAGAAAGCCACGGCUAACUACGUG